GAUGAACGCUAGCGGCAGGCUUAACACAUGCAAGUCGAGGGGUAUAGUAGCAAUACUAGAGACCGGCGCACGGGUGCGUAACGCGUAUGCAAUCUACCUUUUGCAGAGGGAUAGCCCAGAGAAAUUUGGAUUAAUACCUCAUAGUAUAGCGACAUCGCAUGAUGAUGCUAUUAAAGUCACAACGGCAAAAGAUGAGCAUGCGUCCCAUUAGCUAGUUGGUAAGGUAACGGCUUACCAAGGCAACGAUGGGUAGGGGUCCUGAGAGGGAGAUCCCCCACACUGGUACUGAGACACGGACCAGACUCCUACGGGAGGCAGCAGUGAGGAAUAUUGGACAAUGGGCGCAAGCCUGAUCCAGCCAUGCCGCGUGCAGGAUGACGGUCCUAUGGAUUGUAAACUGCUUUUGUACAGGAAGAAACAUUGGUUCGUGAACCAGCUUGACGGUACUGUAAGAAUAAGGAUCGGCUAACUCCGUG
Molecule: ribosomal RNA, 476 nt
Filed under: uncultured bacterium
Lineage: Bacteria
Description: bacterial SSU rRNA
Rfam family: Bacterial small subunit ribosomal RNA
Source: RNAcentral